GUGGGGAAUAUUGGACAAUGGGCGAAAGCCUGAUCCAGCCAUGCCGCGUGAGUGAUGAAGGCCUUAGGGUUGUAAAGCUCUUUCAGUAGGGAAGAUAAUGACGGUACCUACAGAAGAAGCCCCGGCUAACUUCGUGCCAGCAGCCGCGGUAAUACGAAGGGGGCUAGCGUUGUUCGGAUUUACUGGGCGUAAAGCGCACGUAGGCGGAUUGGUCAGUUAGAGGUGAAAUCCUGGAGCUCAACUCCAGAACUGCCUUUAAUACUGCCAGUCUAGAGUCCAGAAGAGGUGAGUGGAACUCCUAGUGUAGAGGGGGAAUUCGUAGAGAUUAGGAAGAACACCAGUGGCGAAGGCGGCUCACUGGUCUGGUACUGACGCUGAGGUGCGAAAGCGUGGGGAUCAAACAGGAUUAGAUACCCCGGUAGUCC
Molecule: ribosomal RNA, 425 nt
Filed under: uncultured bacterium
Lineage: Bacteria
Description: partial 16S ribosomal RNA
Rfam family: Bacterial small subunit ribosomal RNA
Source: RNAcentral